This 73-nucleotide transfer RNA is filed under the name Ailuropoda melanoleuca (giant panda). It matches the Rfam family "tRNA". Rfam says of the family: Transfer RNA (tRNA) molecules are approximately 80 nucleotides in length. Their secondary structure includes four short double-helical elements and three loops (D, anti-codon, and T loops). The record is from Rfam by way of RNAcentral. Lineage: Eukaryota; Metazoa; Chordata; Mammalia; Carnivora; Ursidae.
GCCUGGCUGGCUCCGUUCGUAGAGCUUGAGACUCUCAGUUUCAAGGUCGUGAGUUCAAGCCCCACAUUGGGCA